UUCGGGGUGGAUUAGUGGCGAACGGGUGAGUAACACGUGGGCAAUCUGCCCUUCACUCUGGGACAAGCCCUGGAAACGGGGUCUAAUACCGGAUACGAGACGGGGAGGCAUCUCCUCGUCUGGAAAGCUCCGGCGGUGAAGGAUGAGCCCGCGGCCUAUCAGCUUGUUGGUGGGGUAAUGGCCUACCAAGGCGACGACGGGUAGCCGGCCUGAGAGGGCGACCGGCCACACUGGGACUGAGACACGGCCCAGACUCCUACGGGAGGCAGCAGUGGGGAAUAUUGCACAAUGGGCGAAAGCCUGAUGCAGCGACGCCGCGUGAGGGAUGACGGCCUUCGGGUUGUAAACCUCUUUCAGCAGGGAAGAAGCGAAAGUGACGGUACCUGCAGAAGAAGCGCCGGCUAACUACGUGCCAGCAGCCGCGGUAAUACGUAGGGCGCAAGCGUUGUCCGGAAUUAUUGGGCGUAAAGAGCUCGUAGGCGGCUUGUCACGUCGGGUGUGAAAGCCCGGGGCUUAACCCCGGGUCUGCAUCCGAUACGGGCAGGCUAGAGUGUGGUAGGGGAGAUCGGAAUUCCUGGUGUAGCGGUGAAAUGCGCAGAUAUCAGGAGGAACACCGGUGGCGAAGGCGGAUCUCUGGGCC
Molecule: ribosomal RNA, 640 nt
Filed under: Streptomyces roseofulvus
Lineage: Bacteria; Bacillati; Actinomycetota; Actinomycetes; Kitasatosporales; Streptomycetaceae
Description: bacterial SSU rRNA
Rfam family: Bacterial small subunit ribosomal RNA
Source: RNAcentral